RNAcentral lists this unclassified non-coding RNA (2534 nucleotides) under Hevea brasiliensis (rubber tree). The record is from RNAcentral. Lineage: Eukaryota; Viridiplantae; Streptophyta; Magnoliopsida; Malpighiales; Euphorbiaceae.
AUCCCUAUCUUUAAUUUCUCUUCAUUUCCUCUGCCAAGGAUCCAGGUAAAGCAAGUUUCCUAUAAGCCUUUUUUCAUCAGGAGUUGCAGGAGGAGACACACUUGGAACUUCUUAAGGAGACUCUCUACGACUAGCUCUCAAAAGAGUAAGAUUAUUUGAUCUACUAUUCUUGAAAUUCUACAAGAUUGGAGUCAAAUGUUUGAGGAACAAAAAAAAAAUGGUAAAAUCACCUCCAUAGCUAUAUCUACAAGUGGGUAUAAAUGGGCCUGCCUGGUUUUGCAAGGACAGGAGUGAUCUUGAGGAAUGGUAAAGCAGCCAGGAAGGAUUAUGUGGUAUUGGAGGGGAAGGAAGUAAAUCCGUACAUGUUCUUAAAAUAACAACCAUGUAUGGUAUCUGGAUCACUCAUCAAGUUAAGAGAUUCUCGCUAAGACAUAUCGUUUUUCAAAUUAGGUUAUUUUAUAAUAAAUUAUAUAAGAGAUGAAGAUGAUGGAUGUGGCUUGCUUCAACCGCUGAUACGUUUUUGGUCUCCUGAAAUUGAAAUGAAGCUGCAAUGCUGCAUCUUUCCAGUUGCCCGAUAUUUCGUACACCCCCAAUUUAAAAUCACAAUCAUAUACCGUUUAUUUCAAUCAUCACCAGAUUUCUAUUCUCAACUCAUCCAAACUUUAGCUUGUUCUCGAGCCUCGCAUCAAGGAAAAAAACUGCAUGCCCACUUGAUUAUAAACGGCUUAGCUUCUUCAACUCGUUUUGCCUCCAGGCUCAUCUAUUUUUAUACUGAGAUUAAACAGUUAUCUGACGCUCGUAAACUGUUCGAUGAAAUUCCCAAAUCAAACAUCCACCGUUGGGUCGUGCUCAUUGGUGCCUACUCUCGAUGUGAUUUUUAUCAGGAAGCUUUAACCGUCUUUUCUGAAAUGCAGAAUGAAAGAUUAGGGCCUAAUAAGUUUGUUAUUCCGAGUGUUCUUAAAGCUUGUGGUCGUUUGUUUGAUUUGCAAACUGGGAAGAUAUUACACUCUGUGAUUUUGAAGUCAUCAUUUAAGUCUGAUGUUUUUGUCAUUAGUGCAUUAAUCGAUAUGUAUUCUAGAUGCAAGCAAGUUGAAAAGGCGAGGCAAGUGUUUGAUAGGAUGGAAGAGAAAGACUUGGUGGCAUUAAAUGUCAUGGUUUUAGGUUAUGCUCAACAUGGUUUGGCUAAGGAUGGAUUUGUUUUGGUGGAGAAAAUGCAAAUGUUGGAUAUUAAGCCUAAUGUGGUAACUUGGAAUACCUUAAUUUCAGGGUUUGCACAAGCAUGUGACAAAGUAAUGGUUUUAAAGGUGUUUGAAUUAAUGCUUAUGAAUGGUGUGAAGCCUGAUGUCUUCUCUUGGACUUCGGUUAUUUCAGGGUUGGUGCAGAAUUUUCAGAUUGAGGCGGCUUUUGAUACAUUUAAACAAAUGUUGCAACAUGGGUUUUAUCCAAGUUCUGCAACUAUUAGCAGCCUCUUACCUGCUUGUGCAACUGUGGCAAAUGUGAGGCUUGGGAGGGGGGUACACGGGUAUGCAGUGGUGAUUGGAGUUGAAGAGGACAUAUAUGUAAGGAGUGCUCUUGUUGACAUGUAUGCCAAAUGUGGUUUUAUAUCUGAAGCAAUGGUAUUGUUUUAUAAGAUGCCUGAAAGAAACACAGCUACUUGGAAUUCAAUGAUUUUUGGAUAUGCAAAUCACGGGUACUGCAAUGAAGCUAUUGAGCUUUUUAAUCAGAUGGAGAAGGUAGAGAGAAAGAAGCUUGAUCACUUGAGUUUCACCGCUGUCCUCACUGCUUGUAGCCAUGCUGGAAGGGUUGAACUUGGACAAAGUUUGUUUCUUUUGAUGCAAGAGAAGUACAAUGUUGUUCCAAGAUUGGAGCAUUAUGCAUGCAUAGUUGACCUACUUGGUAGAGCUGGAAAAUUAUCCCAGGCUUAUGAUAUGAUUAAGACGAUGCCUGUUGAGCCUGAUUUAUUUGUUUGGGGAGCAUUAUUAGGGGCAUGUCGGAAUCAUGGGGAUGUAGAUCUUGCUGAGAUAGCAGCUAGGCAUUUGGCCGAGCUUGAGCCUUGGAAUGCUGGAAAUAAUAUGCUUCUGUCAAAUUUAUAUGCUGAUACUGACUGUCGGGAAAAUGUUGCAAAGUUCAAGAAUCUGAUAAAAAGAAAAAAGAUGAGAAGAUUUUCUGGGUGCAGUUGGAUAGAGGCUGCCAGAUAACUGUGGAUUCUGAGGAAGAAUUGCCCCAAUCCUUAGCCUGGAACUGAGAGAAUUCUUGGAUUGUUUGUGCAAUACCCUGCUUCGGCAGUGCCUUCCUGGGUUUUACUGCUUCCUUCAGGGGAUCUUAGGGAAUAUUUGGCUCCCUUUUUUUUUUUUUAAUUAUCUCCCCAAAAGUUGGAUCCAUCAGGGUGGGAAAAUUUUAGCAGGUGGAAUUGGCUAUCGGAUUAUGGCUUUGGGAGUUUGUAUGCAAUAAUCAAUGCAACGUAUUGAGAAGGGUUUAAUACUUGAGAUAAAUUUCCAUGCAUUUCAAUGAAAUUUACCUCGUAUUUAGUUGGG